GAUUAUAGAUGAUCGGCUAAAUUCGUCCUGUCCUAGGACAACGCCGAUCUGACCCACGUCGUGUGGG
This 67-nucleotide small RNA is filed under the name Alteribacillus iranensis. RNAcentral's name for it is "Bacillus sp. X5B(2010) Bacillaceae-1 RNA". It matches the Rfam family "Bacillaceae-1 RNA". Lineage: Bacteria; Bacillati; Bacillota; Bacilli; Caryophanales; Bacillaceae. The record is from Rfam by way of RNAcentral.